RNAcentral lists this ribosomal RNA (487 nucleotides) under uncultured archaeon. RNAcentral's name for it is "bacterial SSU rRNA". It matches the Rfam family "Archaeal small subunit ribosomal RNA", at positions 380 to 867 of the family's 1478-position model. The record is from RNAcentral.
CUCGAGUGCCAGGUUACAAAUCUGGCUGUCGUGAUGCCUAAAAAGCAUUAUAUAGCAAGGGCCGGGCAAGACCGGUGCCAGCCGCCGCGGUAACACCGGCGGCUCGAGUGGUAACCGUUAUUAUUGGGUCUAAAGGGUCUGUAGCCGGCCGGAUAAGUCUCUUGGGAAAUCUGGCAGCUUAACUGUCAGGCUUUCAGGGGAUACUGUCUGGCUCGAGGCCGGGAGAGGUGAUAGGUACUUCAGGGGUAGGGGUGAAAUCUUGUAAUCCUUGAAGGACCACCAGUGGCGAAGGCGUCUCACCAGAACGGACCUGACGGCAAGGGACGAAAGCUAGGGGCACGAACCGGAUUAGAUACCCGGGUAGUCCUAGCCGUAAACGAUACUCGCUAGGUGUCGGCCACGGUGCGACCGUUGUCGGUGCCGUAGGGAAGCCGUGAAGCGAGCCACCUGGGAAGUACGGCCGCAAGGCUGAAACUUAAAGGAAUUG